UUUUAGUGGCGGACGGGUGAGUAACGCGUGGGUAACCUGCCUCACACUGGGGGAUAACACUUAGAAAUAGGUGCUAAUACCGCAUAAGCGCACGGGACUGCAUGGCCUUGUGUGAAAAACUCCGGUGGUGUGAGAUGGACCCGCGUCUGAUUAGCUGGUUGGCGGGGUAACGGCCCACCAAGGCGACGAUCAGUAGCCGGCCUGAGAGGGUGGACGGCCACAUUGGGACUGAGACACGGCCCAAACUCCUACGGAAGGCAGCAG
RNAcentral lists this ribosomal RNA (264 nucleotides) under uncultured bacterium. RNAcentral's name for it is "partial 16S ribosomal RNA". It matches the Rfam family "Bacterial small subunit ribosomal RNA", at positions 90 to 354 of the family's 1533-position model. The record is from RNAcentral.